CGGAUGAAGGGAGCUUGCUCCUGGAUUCAGCGGCGGACGGGUGAGUAAUGCCUAGGAAUCUGCCUGGUAGUGGGGGAUAACGUCCGGAAACGGGCGCUAAUACCGCAUACGUCCUGAGGGAGAAAGUGGGGGAUCUUCGGACCUCACGCUAUCAGAUGAGCCUAGGUCGGAUUAGCUAGUUGGUGGGGUAAAGGCCUACCAAGGCGACGAUCCGUAACUGGUCUGAGAGGAUGAUCAGUCACACUGGAACUGAGACACGGUCCAGACUCCUACGGGAGGCAGCAGUGGGGAAUAUUGGACAAUGGGCGAAAGCCUGAUCCAGCCAUGCCGCGUGUGUGAAGAAGGUCUUCGGAUUGUAAAGCACUUUAAGUUGGGAGGAAGGGCAGUAAGUUAAUACCUUGCUGUUUUGACGUUACCAACAGAAUAAGCACCGGCUAACUUCGUGCCAGCAGCCGCGGUAAUACGAAGGGGUGCAAGCGUUAAUCGGAAUUACUGGGCGUAAAGCGCGCGUAGGUGGUUCAGCAAGUUGGAUGUGAAAUCCCCGGGCUCAACCUGGGAACUGCAUCCAAAACUACUGAGCUAGAGUACGGUAGAGGGUGGUGGAAUUUCCUGUGUAGCGGUGAAAUGCGUAGAUAUAGGAAGGAACACCAGUGGCGAAGGCGACCACCUGGACUGAUACUGACACUGAGGUGCGAAAGCGUGGGGAGCAAACAGGAUAGAAUACCCUGGUAGUCCACGCCGUAAACGAUGUCGACUAGCCGUUGGGAUCCUUGAGAGGAUCUUAGUGGCGCACGUAA
Molecule: ribosomal RNA, 797 nt
Filed under: Pseudomonas aeruginosa
Lineage: Bacteria; Pseudomonadati; Pseudomonadota; Gammaproteobacteria; Pseudomonadales; Pseudomonadaceae
Description: bacterial SSU rRNA
Rfam family: Bacterial small subunit ribosomal RNA
Source: RNAcentral